UACGUAGGGUGCAAGCGUUGUCCGGAAUUACUGGGCGUAAAGCGCACUAGAGCGGACUUGUAAGUCAGGGGUGAAAUCCCGGGGCUCAACCUCGGAACUGCCUUUGAUACUGCGAGUCUCGAGUCCGAUAGAGGUGGGUGGAAUUCCUAGUGUAGAGGUGAAAUUCGUAGAUAUUAGGAAGAACACCGGUGGCGAAGGCGGCCCACUGGAUCGGUACUGACGCUGAGGUGCGAAAGCGUGGGGAGCAAACAGG
RNAcentral lists this ribosomal RNA (253 nucleotides) under uncultured bacterium. RNAcentral's name for it is "partial 16S ribosomal RNA". It matches the Rfam family "Bacterial small subunit ribosomal RNA", at positions 524 to 776 of the family's 1533-position model. The record is from RNAcentral.